RNAcentral lists this long non-coding RNA (1269 nucleotides) under Danio rerio (zebrafish). RNAcentral's name for it is "lncRNA (ENSDARG00000117424.1)". Lineage: Eukaryota; Metazoa; Chordata; Actinopteri; Cypriniformes; Danionidae. The record is from RNAcentral.
AUGGAGAAUGUGUUCAUAACACUGACUGAUCGCCAAGGAACAUUAUCAUUAACUGUCUCCAAAGAAAUUGCAGAAAAAAUAAAGCAAGAUCACAAAUAUGCAGCAUGUCUAAUGCAGCAAGUGAGAUCUGCAACACUGAAAGAAGAUAGUAGUCAUCAUCCAGCCUCUUUGGCACCAUGUCCCCCUUUAGCUACAAGUCAUUGUACAGUGUCUUUGACCAAAUGCCCUCCGCCUCCAGUCAUUACUCUUUCAGUCACGAUCCACAAUCCUACACCUUUGUCCCAGUGCCCCCCUCCAAAGAUCACUCCUGGUCCAGCAUUUGUUAAAUGUUCUGGUAAAACAAAAACCAUAGAUCUCACUAAAGCCCCACAAGGACCCAAUCUUCAGAUACAUUUAAAACAGACAGAAUGCGACAAAAUCCAAGGUAUGUUCCAUUUCAAAAUGCAUAUGUAAUCUUUCUGUAAAGCUUUUUCUAAAUUACAAAUUGUUUUCACAGAAUUCACACACAGGACCACACUGCUGCUGCUUGACCUCACACAAGCAAACAUGCAGUUAUAUUAUAAAAACAAAAUUGCUUUUUAUAAAAAGAUUGAGCAAGACUUUAAAGUAAAUGGUUACAAUAUGACUAAUGAGAAACUUAGAAAAAAACUUGGUAACAUGAUUACCACGUAUAAAAGAGCUAAGGACCGGUGCCGAGCAACAGGGGAGGAAAAAAUAACUUGGGAGUACUACAAGGUUGGCAUUCUUUAUGUAUUUCAACUGCUGCAGAAUGAUUUGGUUGACUUUUUAAAAUAUUUUGCAUUAAUUUGUUUUUAUAUACUUUCUCACAGAAAAUGGAGGAGUUAUUUGGUAAAUGUGGUGUUGGGAGUGCACCACCUGGCACAAUCUGCUCAACUACUCUGUUCAAAACAUCCGUGACAACAGCUCCACAGUCUCUGAUACCAGCAUCAAGUUCAGAAGAACAUCUUCCUCCAAAUCAGCCUGGUCCCUCCACUGCUUUCCCCUUUAAAGAGAGACCCCAGAAGAGAGUUGGAAGCUUUUAUAUGAUGUUUAUGAGGCACAUGCAGAGAGAAGAACCGCUGCAUUAGAAGCAGCAGUGCAGCCUCACUUGGACUGCCGAAGAAGGCUCAAAGAAAAAAGAUGAAGGGUGUUUGAAAAGAAAACUCUAACCUGCCUUUCAGAAAUAGUUCAACAGCUAAAACAAAUCAACAAGUCGCAAGAAAUGAUAAUUGAGUUAUUAAAAAAAUAAAGCAUAAAUAUAAACCCACU